GAUGAAGAACGUAGCGAAAUGCGAUACGUAAUGUGAAUUGCAGAAUUCAGUGAAUCAUCCAAUCUUUGAACGCACAUUGCGCCCGCCAGCACUCUGGCGGGCAUGCCUGUUCGAGCGUCAUUUCAACCAUCAAGCCCCAGGCUUGCGUUGGAGCCCUGCGGCUGCCGCAGCCUCCUAAAAGCAGUGGCGGGCUCGCUAUCACACCGAGUGCAGUAGAUUACUCUUCGCUCAGGGCGUGCAGCGGGUUCCGGCCGUGAAACCCCCUACUUUUAAAGGUUGACCUCGGAUCAGGUAGGAAUACCCGCUGAACUUAAGCAUAUCAAUAAGCGGAGGA
Molecule: unclassified non-coding RNA, 334 nt
Filed under: soil metagenome
Description: partial contains 5.8S ribosomal RNA, internal transcribed spacer 2, and large subunit ribosomal RNA
Rfam family: 5.8S ribosomal RNA (bases 1-120)
Source: RNAcentral